This is a long non-coding RNA of Tympanuchus pallidicinctus (lesser prairie-chicken), 2575 nucleotides long. RefSeq lists it as uncharacterized. The transcript is spliced from 2 exons. NCBI's taxonomy places the organism in Eukaryota, Metazoa, Chordata, Aves, Galliformes, Phasianidae. The record is from RefSeq and is a predicted model, not a curated record.
GCUGGGGAAAGGUCUUUUUCUGGAGAUCCCUUCUUGGUGAAGAUUUCCCCUGUGAAUGCAGAAUCUUCUAAUAUGACUGGAACAAUCAGUGGAGUCAGACACAGGUACCCAUCUGCCUCAGCAAGAGGGUACCAACAAAUUGGAAUGGAACAGAGAAGAAAGCAACUCCUUGGAGAUGGAAGCAAGAAGAGCUGUGUCUAAUGCAUGACUUGAACACUAGGCAAAGGUGUGUGCCUGGGCUUUCUUGGGCUGAGCCUGCUCCCAGGCCCUGGCUGUGUUAGUAAGGAGAUGGAUUGUGAAUUCACUGCUCAUGUUCUGCUGUAAAGGGACAUGUUUGUCUUUUCUUCCUUGUGUCUGGGACAGUGCAUGAACUAAGCAUUUCUUUAGGAUUGCUGUGUUUAAGCCAUCACAGCAUCCUGCUGGAGGGAGCUUUGCUUCCUUUGAAAAGCAAGGUUGGUGUGAACAGAGUAGCUUCUGCUAAGGGAGAGGGAUGUGUGGGAGGUGUACCAUGAGCAGGUCACCUUUUUCUGCCAUUAGCAGAAGUGAAUUUGCUCUUCUAGGGGCUGGGUUUCUGGAGUGGCCUUUGUGCCGGAGCAGGACCUAAAUUGGUGCUUCACCAGGGGCAGGCAUGACAUGGCACACUGCAGCUUUUAACACUGUACAGGAUGUGUUGUUGUGUAUCAUCACUGUGCGGAGAAGCUAAUGUAAAACCACUGAUCAGUUUCUCUGAAGUUUUUUUCCAAUGAUUUUAACAAUUUGUAAAUAAUUUCUGAGAGAAGACAUUUGACUUUAUGAGCUGUUUGUAUUUGUUGUACUGUACAUUCCAGUUUGAUCAUUGUUAAUUAGUGUCAUGCCUCUGUGUUUUACAGUGAGCAGAAUUACUUCUCUUACCAAUGGCUCUUUGGUGCUACUAAAUUCCUAUUCUACUCAUUGAGCGUGAAAGUUCCUUUUUCUUCCCUCACUGCAUUUCUUCACUACCUUUGACUUAUCUGGAGCGGUUGACUGGCAAAAGUUUCUUUUAUAAACAAGCGGAUUAAAGGGAGAGGUACUGGAUUAAAGAUGACAGACCACAGUCUGAUCCUAUGAAAGUCAAUGGUAAAUCUCCCAUAAGCCACAGUGAAAACAAUGCCAGGAAGAAAAGAGCUUUCUAGGUGCAAUAUUAGUGUGAUUUUAAAGAAAAGUGGAAUGCAUCAUCUCCCCUCUUGUUUGCAGCUGACUUUUUUGGAGUGUAGCAUUUCUAGUGAGUUAGCAUAACACAGCUUUUGUAAUAAAGCAUUCAUAAAUUCCCUGUACAAAUGAAAACACAGUGUAUUGGCCUGAGUUUAAACAUCCUUGAGCAAAAAUAAAUAAAUAAAUAAAAGCUGUUUAGUAGAGUACUGGCUAUCUGACUGAAGGGUCAGUACAUAUGAAGGUUCUAAAAUAUAACAUAGAUUAAGUAAAGUCUGUAUGACAUGCAUGAACCCUUCUGUGCAUACUGUAGCCCUGCUCUGCUCUCUAUUCUCCAGAGGUGAGAGCUGCUAAGGUGAACAGAUGAUUGCCAUGUGACAUUUACCCUGUGUCAGAGCUCAGCCCAUGAGGCUCUGGGCUUGGACAAACACUUAAUAGCUUAUUUUCUUCAGUAAGUAGUUAAGUAGAUGCAGUGCAUUGAAGAAAGAACAGGUCUUAUCUAAUUCCAAGUUAGUUUCAAGCUAGUGAAAGAAAAUAAGAGUACCUUAUGUUACUUGUUUUUCUGAAUUUGAACAAAAAGCCUUGAGAAAUGUUAUUCUGUAAUUGUUCAGCUAUUUAGUCUUCAGUUCUCUUCUUUCUGAAAGCUCAGUUUAUACUUACAAAGAGAAGUAUUUUCUUUAAUGACAGUUUCCUGGCAGCAUCUGGGUUCAGCACUGCCUUGCCCAUACUAAGGCACUUGGCUGGUGUUGCCUGCUAUGGAGCACAUCUCACGGCUCACUGCAUGGCUGAUUCCUCUACAGGGGAAGGAAUAUUGUGCCAUCACAUAAGGUGUGGAGAUGCCACCUAAUCCUGCUCCCCUGGGGUGGGAGGGAAUUGCCUUUCUGUGUAGGCCUACUGAAAGCUAGCAGAUUGAUAGUCUACUGGUUAAACACACAGUAUGACUUACCUCCUUUAUUUUAGUUUUAUUGAUCUUACAAAUUUCUAUUUUUUUUUUUUUUUUGGAGUAUUUGGAUAUAUUUUUGUUCUCUGAAGUUUUUGAAGGCAUCAUUUUCAUAGGCAUACAAUAGAAAUGGUAAACCAAAAAAUAUAUAUAUAAAAAUCCUAUUCAUACUUUGAGCUUACGAAGUAACAGCACAUCCAUUGAAAUUUAAAUCAAAAUGAAGACUGUGUCACACACUAUAGCUCUCUGGAAAGCUACAGUGGGAGUCUAGCAGUCCAAUUCAUUCCUUUGUAGACUGUACUAAGGCUAAUGGUCUUGCUGGGAGUAAAAUGUAUUUUUUGCAGAAUGGUUCCAAGAACAGACUUUUCUCAGAAAAACAUAAAAGAAAACAAAUGCUUACUGUGUCUUUAGUAUGCUAAAUAUGAAAUUCUUUACACAAUGGAAUGUUAGCAGUAGCUGUAAUCAUGU